RNAcentral lists this ribosomal RNA (354 nucleotides) under Triticum aestivum (bread wheat). RNAcentral describes it as "partial small subunit ribosomal RNA". Lineage: Eukaryota; Viridiplantae; Streptophyta; Magnoliopsida; Poales; Poaceae. The record is from RNAcentral.
AUGAUCCGUCUGAUGAAGAAGAGAAAUCUCCCUGCAGCUUUCAAAUGUUACUGGAAUUACCAAAAAUUUGAUUCUCUUUCAAAUGAUAACUUGUAUUACAAGAUGGUUAUCCAUGUGCACAAGGAUUCUGCUUUUAGACGUUAUCAGCAAGAGACGAGGAAAAAUCAAGAGUUGUGGCCACUGUACAGAGGUUUCUUCAUUGAUGUAAACCUGUUCAAGGCUGCUGAACUUUCCAAAGACAGUAACGCUGUACCAGAAAAUAUCAAUGGACUUCCGAAUUCAAGAUCGUCAACUAAGGAUGGUCUGGUUGAUGAGGAUUCAAAUUUGAUGGUUAAACUAAAAUUCCUGGCCUAA